This 253-nucleotide ribosomal RNA is filed under the name uncultured bacterium. RNAcentral's name for it is "partial 16S ribosomal RNA". It matches the Rfam family "Bacterial small subunit ribosomal RNA", at positions 524 to 776 of the family's 1533-position model. The record is from RNAcentral.
UACGGGGGGGGCAAGCGUUGUUCGGAAUUACUGGGCGUAAAGGGCGCGUAGGCGGCUUGGCAAGUGGAAGGUGAAAUCCCUCGGCUUAGCCGAGGAACUGCCCUCCAAACUGCUUCGCUUGAGACCGGGAGAGGUGAGUGGAAUUCCCAGUGUAGCGGUGAAAUGCGUAGAUAUUGGGAGGAACACCAGUGGCGAAGGCGGCUCACUGGACCGGUACUGACGCUGAUGCGCGAAAGCGUGGGGAGCAAACGGG